RNAcentral lists this long non-coding RNA (840 nucleotides) under Cyanistes caeruleus (blue tit). RNAcentral describes it as "lncRNA (ENSCCEG00000013197.1)". The record is from RNAcentral. Lineage: Eukaryota; Metazoa; Chordata; Aves; Passeriformes; Paridae.
CCAAUAUACCAUAUUAAAGUUGUACCUUAUUGCAUUUCUCACAGCUAACAUACCUGAGUUAAGUUAUGCCUUGAUAAGAUUAAAACUCAAGGAAACAAAAUGAGCAGUUUCAACAAACAAGAAUCUAGGACAUACCCAUUAUGAACUUAGGAUGUACUGAGAUAACUAGGAAGCUACAGAUAGGCGAAGCAGUAGCAGCUCAUGGAGCUGCCCUUCACAAACCUUGAACUAGCUUUCAUCUUGCUGGCUUUUGUCAUUUUCACCUUGUUUACCCUGGCUUCUAUCUACAGUGGCUCCUACGACAACAAAGAAGUUAGAUGCCAACAGGCUAGCAUCUGGCACAAUCUGCAGGACAUGGAUUAGAGUGAAAGUUUGGAAAUCUGUAGUGGUGUGAUGUUCUGAAGGAGGCUGCAGCACGUGUUUCCUGCUGCCCUUUUAGAAGAGGCUAAACCCACUGUCACAACUUCUAUGGAACAUCAUUUUCAUGCCCCAGUGCCACUGUAGCUCUUCUAUAUAAGGGAUAACUGUGAUGAAGCAGUCUUCUGAUUUUCUAGGAUUCUUUCUUAUGUGUAGCAGGUAAGGCUUGACUUUAAUUCUUUUCACUAUUUGACCAGUGUCCCUGUCAGGAACCAACCAACAGCUCCUUGGGGCAAAGUGCAAUGUGCUUCAUAGAGUUUUGUUCUAAGGAAUAUAAAAGAUGACAGAUUUAUUGUAAAAAGGUAAAAGAGAGUGAGAUUUUAAGAACUUGUGAUGCAUUUGCUGCCAAGAGCAGUCAUUAGAAGAACAGUUCCAAGCAGAGUCUAUGCAAUAAAUCUCCCACUGGAGGGAGAUGUCUAGUCA